RNAcentral lists this ribosomal RNA (397 nucleotides) under uncultured Lactobacillus sp. RNAcentral describes it as "bacterial SSU rRNA". It matches the Rfam family "Bacterial small subunit ribosomal RNA", at positions 158 to 524 of the family's 1533-position model. The record is from RNAcentral. Lineage: Bacteria; Bacillati; Bacillota; Bacilli; Lactobacillales; Lactobacillaceae.
AGGUGCUAAUACCGGAUAAGAAAGCAGAUCGCAUGAUCAGCUUUUAAAAAGGCGGCGUAAGCUGUCGCUAUGGGAUGGCCCGCGGUGCAUUAGCUAAGUUGGUAAGGUAAAGGCUUACCAAGGCGAUUGAUGCAUAGCCCGAGUUGAGAGACUGAUCGGGCCACAUUGGGGGACUGGAGACACGGGGCCCAAACUCCUACGGGGGGAGGGGCAGCAGUAGGGGGAAUCUUCCACAAUGGACGCAAGUCUGAUGGAGCAACGCCGCGUGAGUGAAGAAGGUUUUCGGAUCGUAAAGCUCUGUUGUUGGUGAAGAAGGAUAGAGGUAGUAACUGGCCUUUAAUUUGACGGUAAUCAACCAGAAAGUCACGGCUAACUACGUGCCAGCAGCCGCGGUAAU